Molecule: unclassified non-coding RNA, 443 nt
Filed under: Hevea brasiliensis (rubber tree)
Lineage: Eukaryota; Viridiplantae; Streptophyta; Magnoliopsida; Malpighiales; Euphorbiaceae
Source: RNAcentral
GCUAAAACUUCUUUCAGGUACUUCCUCGCCCUCAAACCUCAUCUUGAACCUCAUCCCAACAGAGAGUUUAUGGUUUUGAGCUUCAAGGUACUUGUUCAGACUUACAAGAAACGUAGACCUGCUUGUCCUUGGCUUGUAAAAGACAGAAAAGAGUGUUCCAGUUGCAAUAGCAUGAGAAGCAGUGGCUAAAACUCCAAGAUGCAUACUGUGACUUGAUAUAACAGAAGAUGGCAUAUUGUUUAGUUGUCUCAUGAGUCUUCUCACCCCAACACGAAGCUCUCCAUUUUCACCUCUUAAAAAGAUAAAAGCAUCUCCAGCUACUAGCUUUUUGGAACUAACAAAGACGCUCCACCCAGUUGUUAGCAAAUGACGCCUUGGUUGACCUCGAAAAAUGUGCCUAAAAUGCCAUUGACUCCCAUGUAAAUCAGUCGCGACCAAUUCUU